Molecule: ribosomal RNA, 1347 nt
Filed under: uncultured bacterium
Lineage: Bacteria
Description: bacterial SSU rRNA
Rfam family: Bacterial small subunit ribosomal RNA
Source: RNAcentral
GACGAACGUUGGCGGCGUUGCUUAACACAUGCAAGUCGAACGGAAAGGCCCUGCUUUUGUGGGGUGCUCGAGUGGCGAACGGGUGAGUAACACGUGAGUAACCUGCCCUUGACUUUGGGAUAACUUCAGGAAACUGGGGCUAAUACCGGAUAGGAGCUCCUGCUGCAUGGUGGGGGUUGGAAAGUUUCGGCGGUUGGGGAUGGACUCGCGGCUUAUCAGCUUGUUGGUGGGGUAGUGGCUUACCAAGGCUUUGACGGGUAGCCGGCCUGAGAGGGUGACCGGCCACAUUGGGACUGAGAUACGGCCCAGACUCCUACGGGAGGCAGCAGUGGGGAAUAUUGCACAAUGGGCGGAAGCCUGAUGCAACAACGCCGCGUGCGGGAUGACGGCCUUCGGGUUGUAAACCGCUUUCGCCUGUGACGAAGCGUGAGUGACGGUAAUGGGUAAAGAAGCACCGGCUAACUACGUGCCAGCAGCCGCGGUGAUACGUAGGGUGCGAGCGUUGUCCGGAUUUAUUGGGCGUAAAGGGCUCGUAGGUGGUUGAUCGCGUCGGAAGUGUAAUCUUGGGGCUUAACCCUGAGCGUGCUUUCGAUACGGGUUGACUUGAGGAAGGUAGGGGAGAAUGGAAUUCCUGGUGGAGCGGUGGAAUGCGCAGAUAUCAGGAGGAACACCAGUGGCGAAGGCGGUUCUCUGGGCCUUUCCUGACGCUGAGGAGCGAAAGCGUGGGGAGCGAACAGGCUUAGAUACCCUGGUAGUCCACGCUGUAAACGGUGGGUACUAGGUGUGGGGUCCAUUCCACGGGUUCCGUGCCGUAGCUAACGCUUUAAGUACCCCGCCUGGGGAGUACGGCCGCAAGGCUAAAACUCAAAGGAAUUGACGGGGCCCCGCACAAGCGGCGGAGCAUGCGGAUUAAUUCGAUGCAACGCGUAGAACCUUACCUGGGUUUGACAUGGAUCGGGAGUGCUCAGAGAUGGGUGUGCCUCUUUUGGGGUCGGUUCACAGGUGGUGCAUGCCUGUCGUCAGCUCGUGUCGUGAGAUGUUGGGUUAAGUCCCGCAACGAGCGCAACCCUUGUUCACUGUUGCCAGCACGUUAUGGUGGGGACUCAGUGGAGACCGCCGGGGUCAACUCGGAGGAAGGUGGGGAUGACGUCAAGUCAUCAUGCCCCUUAUGUCCAGGGCUUCACGCAUGCUACAAUGGCUGGUACAGAGAGUGGCGAGCCUGUGAGGGUGAGCGAAUCUCGGAAAGCCGGUCUCAGUUCGGAUUGGGGUCUGCAACUCGACCCCAUGAAGUCGGAGUCGCUAGUAAUCGCAAAUCAGCAACGCUGCGGUGAAUACGUUCCCGGGGCU